AUACGUAGGGUCCAAGCGUUAAUCGGAAUUACUGGGCGUAAAGGGUGCGUAGGUGGCUUAUCAGGCCGGGGGUGAAAGGCAUUGGCUCAACCAAUGUAAGCCUUUGGAACUGAUAGGCUUGAGUGCAGGAGAGGUAAGUGGAAUUCCUAGUGUAGAGGUGAAAUUCGUAGAUAUUAGGAGGAACACCAGUGGCGAAGGCGACUUACUGGACUGUAACUGACACCGAGGCACGAAAGCGUGGGUAGC
This 246-nucleotide ribosomal RNA is filed under the name uncultured bacterium. RNAcentral describes it as "partial 16S ribosomal RNA". It matches the Rfam family "Bacterial small subunit ribosomal RNA", at positions 523 to 769 of the family's 1533-position model. The record is from RNAcentral.